GGGGAAUUUUCCGCAAUGGGCGAAACCCUGACGGAGCAAUACCGCGUGAAGGAUGAAGGCCUAUGGGUUGUAAACUUCUUUUCUUAGAGAAGAAUUUUGACGGUAUCUAAGGAAUAAGCAUCGGCUAACUCUGUGCCAGCAGCCGCGGUAAUACAGAGGAUGCAAGCGUUAUCCGGAAUGAUUGGGCGUAAAGCGUCUGUAGGUGGUUUACCAAGUCUUCUGUCAAAGAUCAGGGCUUAACCCUGGGCAGGCAGGAGAAACUAAUAGACUAGAGUUCGGUAGAGGCAGAGGGAAUUCCCGGUGGAGCGGUGAAAUGCGUAGAGAUCGGGAGGAACACCAAGGGCGAAGGCACUCUGCUGGGCCGCGACUGACACUGAGAGACGAAAGCGAGGGGAGCAAAUGGGAUUAGAUA
Molecule: ribosomal RNA, 412 nt
Filed under: uncultured Trebouxiophyceae
Lineage: Eukaryota; Viridiplantae; Chlorophyta; Trebouxiophyceae
Description: bacterial SSU rRNA
Rfam family: Bacterial small subunit ribosomal RNA
Source: RNAcentral